CGCUUGCAAGGGUGUUUUCUGGAAUAAGGGCCGGUGGGAUGAGUGAGUUCUGCUCGGGACCGAGCCAACCUGGUUUUCUGCUUGUUUAGCCACCGCCUCCCCUCGUGACAUCAACACUGCGGAGAGCCGCCGCGCGCUCAGACUCUGCUGCAGAACGCCAGUGCGCAAAGGUAAGCGAGCACUCCUCAGCACGCAACAACACGUUAGCACACUUAAAAGACGGAUCGUGUGGUAUUGAUGAGUGAUUGGUGAUCUAUCAGCAUGUCGCUGUACGCGUCUCAGAUUAAAGCGUUUAAGAGCGCAGAGCCCAAGACACUUGGCGCUAUUGAGAUCAUAAUGGGAGUGUUUACUGUCAUUUUGAGCUCAAUUGUUUAUAAGCUGCACUACCAUAUCCAGCGUGAAAUCAUCAUCCUCAUCGUCAACGGUGCUCAGCUUGUCAUAACUGGUGUUGUCCUGGUGCACACUGGGAGGAAGCCAUCUAAAUGUCUGGUGCUGACAACCAUUGUUCUGCAAUUACUAACCGCAGCAUUUGAUAUUGUUGGAUUUGGGCUCAUGGCCAGACACAUCCCAUUCAGAGGAGAGUCGUACUACUACAGGGACACAGAGUUCUUAGUGAAUGGGAUCUUGUUGACACUGAUCGGUUUCCUGGUGCUAGCAUGUGUCAUUGGUUUGGUUGUGUCUCUUUUUGGGGUCUACACCCUUUCUGUUAGUGCCAUAAAGGAGGUGACGCCCAUCCCUCACUCUACCGCAAACCAACAUUAUGGUGCUGGCGUUCAGACCCAGAACAAGAUCCAUGCCGGAAACUGACAAAAUAAGAGCCGUUCAGAGCAGAAGGGCACAGUUUUAGCACAGUUUUACACCAACUGCAAAAGAGGACUGUUUCACCUACAAACCACUCACAGGUAAACAACCACAACUACAGACAAAAAAAAAAAAGUUUGUGAAGUUGUAAAUAAUUUUUUGAAAAUAAAAUGGAUAAAAUCUCGUUUUUUGCUUGGCUGUUGCUCUCACAGGCGUUAGGACUGCUGUAAUUUCGAAUGCUCAACUUAAUAGUUAUUCGUACCUCAUUAAUUUUUGCUCUUACAAACUGAAGCUUCUUAGCAUGAAAUGUCUACCCAGAAAUCUAGACCAGAAUCCAGUGUUAUCGAUGUAUGUUAGAGGGGUAAGUGUGCUUAUCGUUCUUAGGAUAUGUGAAAUUAGGUACAUAGCAGAAACAGAAAUGAAAUUAUGGUGAAUGUGAAUGGUAAGAAGGUUCUGUGAUUCCGUCUUGUUUCGUAGCAUUUUGUACCACCUUUUGCAUGGAUCUUUAUAUCGGUCAACAUGUUUGUUUUAGCCACAUGAGGACAUAUGGGGCUACAUUUAUCAAGUUGAUAUUUGUUAAUUGCAAUUUGAAAAUAAAAGCUCUUGAAACCAUAAAAAUGUAACAACACUGUAAGCAAGCCAAAUGAUUUUAUAUAUAUGCUUACAAAAAAAAAUCCUUCAAAAUAAAAGCCUUGAUAAAUGUGGCCCAUGUUCAGUGAAACUCCUCUAAAGCAGAGUAAUGGGAAUUUGAACACCAGUGAAUAGCUAAACAGCAUCGCUUGGCUUUUUUGUCAUCUCGUUUUAUCCGUACUGAUUCUUCAGGAAAGCUAUGAUGACUGCCAACUCUGUAAGUGCCACCACUUUUGACCAAAAUCAUGGACACCCUAAUGACUAAAGGUCAGAGGUUGAACCCUCAGUCAAGGGCUCGACUUUGGUGAUGUAAAAUCCUUUUGUGAUAGCAUGCGUCGUCCGUUCUGUGUCUGUAGAUCUUUGUCUUUAUGACAGCAUGUGAGAUUUACAUUGUGCCUGUUCUCAGCUAACUCUUUACAUGUAGUAAAUGAAAACGUAGUAUGUAGUAAUAUGGCUGUGUUUGUGUUUGUAUUUGACUGAAUGAUAUUUCAAAUAAACUUGAUUUACUACACAAUCUGAU
This is a long non-coding RNA of Sinocyclocheilus anshuiensis, 1951 nucleotides long. Ensembl lists it as uncharacterized. NCBI's taxonomy places the organism in Eukaryota, Metazoa, Chordata, Actinopteri, Cypriniformes, Cyprinidae. The record is from Ensembl.